This 690-nucleotide ribosomal RNA is filed under the name Lactobacillus amylovorus. Its description in RNAcentral is "bacterial SSU rRNA". It matches the Rfam family "Bacterial small subunit ribosomal RNA", at positions 61 to 718 of the family's 1533-position model. Lineage: Bacteria; Bacillati; Bacillota; Bacilli; Lactobacillales; Lactobacillaceae. The record is from RNAcentral.
GUCGAGCGAGCGGAACCAACAGAUUUACUUCGGUAAUGACGUUGGGAAAGCGAGCGGCGGAUGGGUGAGUAACACGUGGGGAACCUGCCCCUAAGUCUGGGAUACCAUUUGGAAACAGGUGCUAAUACCGGAUAAUAAAGCAGAUCGCAUGAUCAGCUUUUGAAAGGCGGCGUAAGCUGUCGCUAAGGGAUGGCCCCGCGGUGCAUUAGCUAGUUGGUAAGGUAACGGCUUACCAAGGCGACGAUGCAUAGCCGAGUUGAGAGACUGAUCGGCCACAUUGGGACUGAGACACGGCCCAAACUCCUACGGGAGGCAGCAGUAGGGAAUCUUCCACAAUGGACGCAAGUCUGAUGGAGCAACGCCGCGUGAGUGAAGAAGGUUUUCGGAUCGUAAAGCUCUGUUGUUGGUGAAGAAGGAUAGAGGUAGUAACUGGCCUUUAUUUGACGGUAAUCAACCAGAAAGUCACGGCUAACUACGUGCCAGCAGCCGCGGUAAUACGUAGGUGGCAAGCGUUGUCCGGAUUUAUUGGGCGUAAAGCGAGCGCAGGCGGAAAAAUAAGUCUAAUGUGAAAGCCCUCGGCUUAACCGAGGAACUGCAUCGGAAACUGUUUUUCUUGAGUGCAGAAGAGGAGAGUGGAACUCCAUGUGUAGCGGUGGAAUGCGUAGAUAUAUGGAAGAACACCAGUGGCGA